Molecule: non-coding RNA, 309 nt
Organism: Tinamus guttatus (white-throated tinamou)
Lineage: Eukaryota; Metazoa; Chordata; Aves; Tinamiformes; Tinamidae
Source: RefSeq, a predicted model, not a curated record
GGUUAUCUACUUGAAAAAUAUGAUAACCCAAUAUUGGCCUGACCGGGAAACUGCACCAGGAGAGAUUCCACCUUACUCCAUCCCAGAAGAAGACAGACACUGUAUUCGUGAAAAUAUCGUAGAAGCCAUUAUUCACUCUCCUGAGUUGAUUAGAGUACAACUUACUACUUGCAUUCACCAUAUUAUCAAGCAUGAUUACCCUAGUCGUUGGACUGCAGUUGUGGAGAAAAUUGGUUUUUAUCUUCAGUCUGACAACAGUGCUUGUUGGCUUGGAAUUCUUCUCUGUCUUUAUCAACUUGUGAAGAACUA